GAUGAACGCUGGCGGCGUGCCUAACACAUGCAAGUCGAGCGAAGCACUUUGCUUAGAUUUUUCGGAUGAAGAGGAUUGUGACUGAGCGGCGGACGGGUGAGUAACGCGUGGGUAACCUGCCUCAUACAGGGGGAUAACAGUUAGAAAUGACUGCUAAUACCGCAUAAGACCACAGCACCGCAUGGUGCGGGGGUAAAAACUCCGGUGGUAUGAGAUGGACCCGCGUCUGAUUAGCUAGUUGGUAAGGUAACGGCUUACCAAGGCGACGAUCAGUAGCCGACCUGAGAGGGUGACCGGCCACAUUGGGACUGAGACACGGCCCAAACUCCUACGGGAGGCAGCAGUGGGGAAUAUUGCACAAUGGGGGAAACCCUGAUGCAGCGACGCCGCGUGAGCGAAGAAGUAUUUCGGUAUGUAAAGCUCUAUCAGCAGGGAAGAAAAUGACG
RNAcentral lists this ribosomal RNA (446 nucleotides) under uncultured bacterium. RNAcentral's name for it is "bacterial SSU rRNA". It matches the Rfam family "Bacterial small subunit ribosomal RNA", at positions 28 to 456 of the family's 1533-position model. The record is from RNAcentral.